UGUGUUGCUUACCUGCGGAAAGGAAUUCGAUGGCUUUUGGUGUGCCCAUCCACCUUAUACCCCUAAAAGGUGUGGGGUGGACGUCAGGCGGCCUCUGUGUUCCCUACGUGUCGAGUGCAUUGGUUCUCGGCCGUUGUGGCCCAUAGGGUCUCCGCCCGUGCUUGCGGAUGCGGAACGUUAUUUGUGCGGGCAUGAGGGGGUCUUGACCUCUGUUCAUCCGACCCGUACUUUACAUUGUCCCUUGAAGCGAAUGACUGUCGCGUCCGUCUUGAUCGACCGAUCGGGCCCCCACCGUGGGGCUCCGGGAGGGCUGCUCAUGCGGGCGUCGGCGUCGGAGAGGAAUGC
Molecule: unclassified non-coding RNA, 345 nt
Filed under: Zanthoxylum holtzianum
Lineage: Eukaryota; Viridiplantae; Streptophyta; Magnoliopsida; Sapindales; Rutaceae
Description: partial external transcribed spacer
Source: RNAcentral